Molecule: ribosomal RNA, 424 nt
Filed under: uncultured beta proteobacterium
Lineage: Bacteria; Pseudomonadati; Pseudomonadota; Betaproteobacteria
Description: bacterial SSU rRNA
Rfam family: Bacterial small subunit ribosomal RNA
Source: RNAcentral
UAAGACCUUGCGUUAUUCGAGCGGCCGACGUCUGAUUAGCUAGUUGGUGGGGUAAAGGCUCACCAAGGCGACGAUCAGUAGCGGGUCUGAGAGGAUGAUCCGCCACACUGGGACUGAGACACGGCCCAGACUCCUAUGGGAGGCAGCAGUGGGGAAUUUUGGACAAUGGGCGAAAGCCUGAUCCAGCCAUUCCGCGUGAGUGAAGAAGGCCUUCGGGUUGUAAAGCUCUUUCGGCAGGAACGAAAUGGUUGCGGUUAAUAACCGCGACUUCUGACGGUACCUGAAGAAGAAGCACCGGCUAACUACGUGCCAGCAGCCGCGGUAAUACGUAGGGUGCGAGCGUUAAUCGGAAUUACUGGGCGUAAAGCGUGCGCAGGCGGUUUUGUAAGUCAGAUGUGAAAGCCCCGGGCUUAACCUGGGAAUG